This is a long non-coding RNA of Cyprinus carpio (common carp), 998 nucleotides long. RefSeq lists it as uncharacterized. The record is from RefSeq and is a predicted model, not a curated record. The transcript has 3 exons. NCBI's taxonomy places the organism in Eukaryota, Metazoa, Chordata, Actinopteri, Cypriniformes, Cyprinidae.
GUCUGUGCCCCAUCCAGCGUCUGUGAACCCUCCGGCAUCUCUGCACCCUCCGGCAUCUCUGCACACUCCAGUGCAGCUUCUUAUCCAAAAGUCAUUACACUGUCUAACAGUGAUAACAAACCUACCUCAUCAACUCGAGCCCAAACCACCUGCUCGAGUAACCCAAUAAUAAUUAGGUCAAAGCCCCAAAAAACUACAUGCACAUUCUGCAAUUUAAUUGUUAAUAAAAAAAACAUCAAGAUACACAUUCAAAGAUGUCACUCAACAGCAGAUACAGAUGUAACGGCAAAUCACCAUCUACCAUCCCAAUGCAUAGACCGUAAUAAUGGCAUUUUUGCUGUCAGAAGAAGCUUUUCUGGAUUUGGAAACCCCAUACACGUACAAAAAAGAAAUAUUGGCACUGCCCAUGCUCUAAGCCAAGGAAUUCAUGUCCUCAUAAGUCCAUUGCGAAAUGGCACUUGAACCAGACUCAUCCUGAACUUUUUCUAAAAGUCAGAUGUACAGACAGUGAUGUGUUUGACACAUUUGCAGAAACUUGUCCUCAAGAUGUGCACAGUACUGAGGAAAGACUUCAAUAUCCACCUAAUGGAAACGCUUUGACGGCAAUUGUCCUUUACUUGCUGAACAACAAGAAAUUGCCAGCUGGUCUGCCAAAAGAUGUUUGUUCACCACAGAACAUGGAAACACUCCCCAAGCACCUCAUUCCACUGGAGACUUUUUGCACUGUAUGCCCAGGAAAGAUCCCUCUUUCGGAUCCAAUCUUAAUUACACAGAAAGCGAAAAUUGUCACGUUCACAGGCAUACUGGAAGAUGUGACCACAUACUGUAAAAGGUGUGGGUUGUGUGGACAUUUUUACCGAUACCAGGAAUGGGCAGAGGGGCUGCACAAUUUUGAUGACCACACAAUAUUAACACUGCAUCUUUGUCUGUUCUUGAGACAGUCUGUACAGAAUCACACUGCAGUUGGCAGGGCCUUGGACAUCUUAGAACAGACCAAC